RNAcentral lists this ribosomal RNA (1387 nucleotides) under Sesamum phyllody phytoplasma. Its description in RNAcentral is "bacterial SSU rRNA". It matches the Rfam family "Bacterial small subunit ribosomal RNA". Lineage: Bacteria; Bacillati; Mycoplasmatota; Mollicutes; Acholeplasmatales; Acholeplasmataceae. The record is from RNAcentral.
GUUUGAUCCUGGCUCAGGAUUAACGCUGGCGGCGUGCCUAAUACAUGCAAGUCGAACGGAAGUUUAAGCAAUUAAACUUUAGUGGCGAACGGGUGAGUAACGCGUAAGCAAUCUGCCCCUAAGACGAGGAUAACAGUUGGAAACGACUGCUAAGACUGGAUAGGAGACAAGAGGGCAUCUUCUUGUUUUUAAAAGACCUAGCAAUAGGUAUGCUUAGGGAGGAGCUUGCGUCACAUUAGUUAGUUGGUGGGGUAAAGGCCUACCAAGACUAUGAUGUGUAGCCGGGCUGAGAGGUUGAACGGCCACACUGGGACUGAGACACGGCCCAAACUCCUACGGGAGGCAGCAGUAGGGAAUUUUCGGCAAUGGAGGAAACUCUGACCGAGCAACGCCGCGUGAACGAUGAAGUAUUUCGGUACGUAAAGUUCUUUUAUUAGGGAAGAAUAAAUGAUGGAAAAAUCAUUCUGACGGUACCUAAUGAAUAAGCCCCGGCUAACUAUGUGCCAGCAGCCGCGGUAAUACAUAGGGGGCAAGCGUUAUCCGGAAUUAUUGGGCGUAAAGGGUGCGUAGGCGGUUAAAUAAGUUUAUGGUCUAAGUGCAAUGCUCAACAUUGUGAUGCUAUAAAAACUGUUUAGCUAGAGUAAGAUAGAGGCAAGUGGAAUUCCAUGCGUAGUGGUAAAAUGCGUAAAUAUAUGGAGGAACACCAGUAGCGAAGGCGGCUUGCUGGGUCUUUACUGACGCUGAGGCACGAAAGCGUGGGGAGCAAACAAGAUUAGAUACCCUGGUAGUCCACGCCGUAAACGAUGAGUACUAAACGUUGGGUAAAACCAGUGUUGAAGUUAACACAUUAAGUACUCCGCCUGAGUAGUACGUACGCAAGUAUGAAACUUAAAGGAAUUGACGGGACUCCGCACAAGCGGUGGAUCAUGUUGUUUAAUUCGAAGGUACCCGAAAAACCUCACCAGGUCUUGACAUGCUUCUGCAAAGCUGUAGAAACACAGUGGAGGUUAUCAGUUGCACAGGUGGUGCAUGGUUGUCGUCAGCUCGUGUCGUGAGAUGUUGGGUUAAGUCCCGCAACGAGCGCAACCCUUAUUGUUAGUUACCAGCACGUAAUGGUGGGGACUUUAGCAAGACUGCCAGUGAUAAAUUGGAGGAAGGUGGGGACGACGUCAAAUCAUCAUGCCCCUUAUGACCUGGGCUACAAACGUGAUACAAUGGCUGUUACAAAGGGUAGCUGAAGCGCAAGUUUUUGGCGAAUCUCAAAAAAACAGUCUCAGUUCGGAUUGAAGUCUGCAACUCGACUUCAUGAAGUUGGAAUCGCUAGUAAUCGCGAAUCAGCAUGUCGCGGUGAAUACGUUCACGGGGUUUGUACACACCGCCCGUCAAA